This 73-nucleotide transfer RNA is filed under the name Bacteroidales bacterium OttesenSCG-928-I21. RNAcentral's name for it is "tRNA-Lys". It matches the Rfam family "tRNA". From Rfam's summary of the family: Transfer RNA (tRNA) molecules are approximately 80 nucleotides in length. Lineage: Bacteria; Pseudomonadati; Bacteroidota; Bacteroidia; Bacteroidales. The record is from RNAcentral.
GAUUGAUUAGCUCAGCCGGUAGAGCACAUGCCUUUUAAGCAUGGGGUCCGGGGUUCGAAUCCCCGAUCAAUCA